UACGAAGGGGGCUAGCGUUGCUCGGAAUUACUGGGCGUAAAGGGAGCGUAGGCGGACAGUUUAGUCAGAGGUGAAAGCCCAGGGCUCAACCUUGGAAUUGCCUUUGAUACUGACUGUCUUGAGUUUGGGAGAGGUGAGUGGAACUCCGAGUGUAGAGGUGAAAUUCGUAGAUAUUCGGAAGAACACCAGUGGCGAAGGCGACUCACUGGCCCAAUACUGACGCUGAGGCUCGAAAGCGUGGGGAGCAAACAGG
This 253-nucleotide ribosomal RNA is filed under the name uncultured bacterium. RNAcentral describes it as "partial 16S ribosomal RNA". It matches the Rfam family "Bacterial small subunit ribosomal RNA", at positions 524 to 776 of the family's 1533-position model. The record is from RNAcentral.